RNAcentral lists this ribosomal RNA (253 nucleotides) under uncultured bacterium. Its description in RNAcentral is "partial 16S ribosomal RNA". It matches the Rfam family "Bacterial small subunit ribosomal RNA", at positions 524 to 776 of the family's 1533-position model. The record is from RNAcentral.
UACGCAGGGGGCUAGCGUUGUUCGGAAUUACUGGGCGUAAAGCGCGCGCAGGCGGCUAUCCAAGUCAGUGGUGAAAGCCCGGAGCUCAACUCCGGAACUGCCAUUGAAACUGUUUAGCUUGAGGAUGAGAGAGGUGAGUGGAAUUCCCAGUGUAGAGGUGAAAUUCGUAGAUAUUGGGAAGAACACCGGUGGCGAAGGCGGCUCACUGGCUCAUUACUGACGCUCAGGCGCGAUAGCGUGGGGAUCAAACAGG